Molecule: long non-coding RNA, 152 nt
Organism: Sebastes umbrosus (honeycomb rockfish)
Lineage: Eukaryota; Metazoa; Chordata; Actinopteri; Perciformes; Sebastidae
Exons: 3
Source: RefSeq, a predicted model, not a curated record
CGUUGAAUCUGCACUUUACACUGCUCAUGUGUUAUACCCUGUGGUCUUAAUGAUCAGGCUGAUUGGAAUCCUUAAAAUCCUGAAUCCGGAUCAUGAUCCGGAUCGCCACCAAAAUCUAAUGGACUGUUCAUUGUGCUACACCCCAACCCUCC